AGCUUUGUGCAGUGGCAGUAUAGUAGCCAAUGAGGUUUAUCUGAGGCGAGAUUAUUGCUAAUUGAAAACUUUUUCCAAUACCCCGCCAUGACGACUUGAAAUAUAGUUGGCAUUGGCAAUUUUUGACAGUCACUACAGAGA
Molecule: small nuclear RNA, 141 nt
Filed under: Saimiri boliviensis boliviensis (Bolivian squirrel monkey)
Lineage: Eukaryota; Metazoa; Chordata; Mammalia; Primates; Cebidae
Description: U4 spliceosomal RNA (ENSSBOG00000000241.1)
Rfam family: U4 spliceosomal RNA
About the family: U4 small nuclear RNA (U4 snRNA) is a component of the major U2-dependent spliceosome. The structure of U4 snRNA from yeast and human has been reported. U4 snRNA presents a k-turn RNA motif in the 5p-SL related to recognition of Snu13 protein.
Source: Rfam by way of RNAcentral